This 369-nucleotide ribosomal RNA is filed under the name Theileria ovis. RNAcentral's name for it is "SSU rRNA". It matches the Rfam family "Eukaryotic small subunit ribosomal RNA", at positions 514 to 916 of the family's 1831-position model. The record is from RNAcentral. Lineage: Eukaryota; Apicomplexa; Aconoidasida; Piroplasmida; Theileriidae.
AUGAUGGGAAUUUAAACCUCUUCCAGAGUAUCAAUUGGAGGGCAAGUCUGGUGCCAGCAGCCGCGGUAAUUCCAGCUCCAAUAGCGUAUAUUAAAAUUGUUGCAGUUAAAAAGCUCGUAGUUGAAUUUCUGCUGCAUUGCUUUUGCUCCUUUACGAGUCUUUGCAUUGUGGCUUAUUUCGGACUUUGUUUUACAAUGUCCGGAUGUUUACUUUGAGAAAAUUAGAGUGCUCAAAGCAGGCUUUCGCCUUGAAUAGUUUAGCAUGGAAUAAUAAAGUAGGACUUUGGUUCUAUUUUGUUGGUUUUAGGUACCAAAGUAAUGGUUAAUAGGAACAGUUGGGGGCAUUCGUAUUUAACUGUCAGAGGUGAAA